CCCCAGACCUCCAUCCUGGACCUGCGCUUCAACCGAAUCCGAGAGAUCCCGCCCGGAGCCUUCAGGAAGCUGAGAAACCUGAACACCUUG
This is a long non-coding RNA of Myotis davidii, 90 nucleotides long. RefSeq lists it as uncharacterized. The record is from RefSeq and is a predicted model, not a curated record. NCBI's taxonomy places the organism in Eukaryota, Metazoa, Chordata, Mammalia, Chiroptera, Vespertilionidae. The transcript is spliced from 3 exons.